Molecule: ribosomal RNA, 252 nt
Filed under: uncultured bacterium
Lineage: Bacteria
Description: partial 16S ribosomal RNA
Rfam family: Bacterial small subunit ribosomal RNA
Source: RNAcentral
UACGAAGGGGGCUAGCGUUGCUCGGAAUCACUGGGCGUAAAGCGCACGUAGGCGGAUCUUUAAGUCAGGGUGAAAUCCUGGAGCUCAACUCCAGAACUGCCUUUGAUACUGGGGAUCUCGAGUCCGGGAGAGGUGAGUGGAACUCCGAGUGUAGAGGUGAAAUUCGUAGAUAUUCGGAAGAACACCAGUGGCGAAGGCGGCUCACUGGCCCGGUACUGACGCUGAGGUGCGAAAGCGUGGGGAGCAAACAGG